UCUUCUUGGAGGAUAACGGUGAUGUCGACGUGGUUUAUUACCACGAGAGCACGAGACCGCAGCUGGAGGACGUGACCACGGUGGGAGAAUACGACCACGCUCUUGAAUAUUAUCUGUCGAUGGGAUGCUGUGGCGAGUCCACGGUGGAAGGCAAGACCACAGUGGAGGCAGAGGGUGUGAAGGGCAUAUUUUUUGAGGGGAAAAUUGCAAGUUCAAAUUCGGAUUUGUAGUAAUCUGAGAGCAACUUUGAACCAGACUUGAUGGUGCAGAUUCAGUUUUUGCAGCCAGCAAUGCCGACUGCAAUGGGUUUUUUGAGGUUCUAAUAGGAUUGAAUAAACCCUCUGGAUGCAAUUCGUUAAAAUUCUGAUAAUGGUAAUUAUAUUCA
Molecule: long non-coding RNA, 385 nt
Organism: Pyrus x bretschneideri (Chinese white pear)
Lineage: Eukaryota; Viridiplantae; Streptophyta; Magnoliopsida; Rosales; Rosaceae
Exons: 2
Source: RefSeq, a predicted model, not a curated record